Molecule: small RNA, 540 nt
Filed under: uncultured fungus
Lineage: Eukaryota; Fungi
Description: eukaryotic LSU rRNA
Rfam family: 5.8S ribosomal RNA (bases 178-331)
Source: RNAcentral
GGAAGGAUCAUUAUUGAAAUAAACCUGAUGGGUUGUUGCUGGUUCUCUAGGGAGCAUGUGCACGCCUUGUCAUCUUUAUAUCUCCACCUGUGCACUUUUUGUAGACCUUUCAGGUCUAUGUUGCUUCAUUUACCCCAAUGUAUGUUAAUAGAAUGUUGUGCCUAUAAUAAUAUAUACAACUUUCAGCAACGGAUCUCUUGGCUCUCGCAUCGAUGAAGAACGCAGCGAAAUGCGAUAAGUAAUGUGAAUUGCAGAAUUCAGUGAAUCAUCGAAUCUUUGAACGCACCUUGCGCUCCUUGGUAUUCCGAGGAGCAUGCCUGUUUGAGUGUCAUUAAUAUAUAUAUCAAACUUCUCUUUGUUGAGUGGUUUGGAUGUGGGGGUUUGCUGGCCUUCUUUAAAAAGGUUCAGCUCCUCUGAAAUGCAUUAGCAGAACAACCUUGUUCAUUGGUGUGAUAACUAUCUACGCUAUUGAAUGUGAGGGGCAGUUCAGCUUUCUAACGGUCUUUGGACAAUUCAUCAUUAAUGUGACCUCAAAUCAGG